RNAcentral lists this long non-coding RNA (1061 nucleotides) under Ananas comosus (pineapple). RNAcentral's name for it is "long non-coding RNA (ACOM_LNC044163)". The record is from RNAcentral. Lineage: Eukaryota; Viridiplantae; Streptophyta; Magnoliopsida; Poales; Bromeliaceae.
CAAGACUUGCGGAACCGUAAUGCACUUUUGGUGUUGUGCUUAGCAAAUGUGAGUGAAUUUAGUCUCAUAUCCUCUGUAGUGGGCCUUUGGAUAGUUCCGAUGAGAAAAAGGCCACUCCGGAGUGCAAAAGUGCAUUGUUACCUUCAGAUGCUCGAAAACUUGAAUUGAGAUGAGAUUUGAGUUUCGAGGACGAAACUCCUUUUAAGGAGGGGAGGAUGUAAGGUACCGGAUUUUAAAUGUAAAAGUGAAAAUAAAUAAAAAUAGUGUGGGAUACUAUUUUUAUUGGACUUAUAGACAUAAAUUAUAAGUCUAGAGUGACCCGUGUUGAAAUGGAAGCGAAAACAGAAGAUUUAGAAUUUUCUGUGAGAGACAGGGCAGACGAUAUAUAUCUGUACCGUGCUGCUAAACCGAAUGUGAAUAGUGUUCUUGGAUAACUUGGAGGCCAAGUUUCCUAGAUAACUUGGAGGCCAAGUUUCCUAUGAAACUUGGAGGCUAAGUUUCCUAUGACACUUGGAGACCAAGUUUCCUAUGAAACUUGGAGGCCAAGUUUCCUAUAUAUAUAUAUAGGGGACUUGAGCCUUUUCUUUCUUUCUCCCUCACACUUGCAACCAAAGAGAAAUAUCUCUCUCUCUAACAAUUUCUCCACCAAAGAGAGGAAUUGGAGGUGCAUUUGGAGAAGAAAAAGGUUGCUUGGAGGUGAAGUCUUCAUCCUCUUCAUUACUGGGUUUGAGGAAAAGCUUGCGUUUGAGGUGCCUAAACACGUGUGAAGCGUCGGUUCGUCGAUUCGUCGAGCAGGUGCGACCGAAGAGUAAAGCGGCGACUAGGGAAGUGCAAUUGAGAACCUAGCCUCGUGAUAGCGGUAAAAGGUGGGGGGUGUCAUACCGAAACAUCCGGGCUUCCUUUUAUGUCUAAGUUUUAUUUUGAUCAUAUUCAUAUAUUGAUAUUGUGCAUUAUAGGAUUAGUAGAUGAUUACAUUCCAUUUCCUUACAUGUUUCCUAUGGUAGUGUAGCAUUAUGGGCUUGACACUUGAACUUAGGUUGCAUGAGGAUUGGGUCAUGUGA